This 484-nucleotide ribosomal RNA is filed under the name uncultured bacterium. RNAcentral describes it as "partial 16S ribosomal RNA". It matches the Rfam family "Bacterial small subunit ribosomal RNA", at positions 28 to 523 of the family's 1533-position model. The record is from RNAcentral.
GACGAACGCUGGCGGCGUGCUUAACACAUGCAAGUCGAACGAUGAAGCCGGAGCUUGCUCUGGUGAAUUAGUGGCGAACGGGUGAGUAACACGUGAGUAACCCGCCCUUGACUCUGGGAUAACUGCUAGAAAUGGUAGCUAAUACCGGAUACGACCCUCGGAGGCAUCUCCAGGGGGUGGAAAGAAUUUCGGUCAAGGAUGGACUCGCGGCCUAUCAGCUAGUUGGUGAGGUAACGGCUCACCAAGGCGACGACGGGUAGCCGGCCUGAGAGGGUGACCGGCCACAAUGGGACUGAGACCCGGCCCAGGCUCCUACGGGAGGCAGCAGUGGGGAAUAUUGCACAAUGGGCGCAAGCCUGAUGCAGCAAUGCCGCGUGAGGGAUGACGGCCUUCGGGUUGUAAACCUCUUUUAGUAGGGAAGAAGCGAAAGUGACGGUACCUGCAGAAAAAGCACCGGCUAACUACGUGCCAGCCGCCGCCGUAA